GACAGAGGGUGCAAACGUUUGUUCGGAAUUACUGGGCGUAAAGCGCGUGUAGGCGGCUGUGUAAGUCGGGCGUGAAAUCCCAUGGCUCAACCAUGGAAGUGCACCCGAAACUGCGUAGCUAGAGUCCUGGAGAGGAAGGUGGAAUGCUUGGUGUAGAGGUGAAAUUCGUAGAUAUCGGGAGGAACACCCGUAGCGAAGGCGGCACUCUGGGCCGGAACUGACGCUGAGGAGCGAAAGCGUGGGGAGCAAACAGG
Molecule: ribosomal RNA, 254 nt
Filed under: uncultured bacterium
Lineage: Bacteria
Description: partial 16S ribosomal RNA
Rfam family: Bacterial small subunit ribosomal RNA
Source: RNAcentral